GUUACUAAGUCGUCAAACAAGUCACAUUCAAAACACAAAAUCCCCUUCAAAGUUCCUACUCUUAACCACUUUCAACCUACCGUGUCACCCUUAAAGUCCCUACACUUUAUCAUUUUCAACCUACCAAGUCACCAAAUCAUUUUCAACCUACCAAGUCCCUAAACAUUCAAGAUCAAGUUCACAAUACACUUUUCAAGAAA
RNAcentral lists this long non-coding RNA (200 nucleotides) under Capsicum annuum. RNAcentral describes it as "long non-coding RNA (CANN_LNC000282)". The record is from RNAcentral. Lineage: Eukaryota; Viridiplantae; Streptophyta; Magnoliopsida; Solanales; Solanaceae.